GAUAUCCCAUUAUAAGUAACAGAAAAUGGACCAAGACACAUAUAGCUUCUUUUUUCAUCCUUUUUCUUUUCUUUUCUUUUUUCUGAGACAUAGUCUUGCCCUGUUGCCAGGCACCAGGCUGGAGCACAGCGGCACAAUCUCGGCUCACUGCAACCUCUGCCUCCCGGGUUCAAGCAAUUCUCCUGCCUCAGCCUCCUGAGUAGCUGAGAUUACAGACACGCGCCACCAUGCCCAGCUAAUUUUUUGUAUUUUUAGCAGAGACGGGGUUUCACCAUGUUGACCAGGAUGGUCUCGAUCUCUUGACCUCGUGAUCCACCUGCCUUGGCCUCCCAAAGUGCUGGGAUUACAGGCUUGAGCCACCGCGCCCUGCCCUCUAAUUCUCUUUUCUUCAAAAUCCUCCCAUUAGGCUGGGCGUGGUGGCUCACGCCUGUAAUCCAAGCACUUUGGAGGCCAAGGUGGGCGGAUCACCUGAGGUCGGGAGUUCAAGACCAGCCUGACCAACAUGGUGAAACCUCGUCUUUAUUAAAAAAACAAACAAAAAAACAACCCCAAAUCCUCCCGCCAUUCCCUAGUUUGGAGGGUGGAGAGCACUGCCAGCCAUUGCUGUGUGGGGAGUAGAAGUCCAGCCUUCCUACUUGGUCUCCGUGGUGGCUUCCCAUGGGGGAGCAAAGCAUGAUUUGAGUGCUCUGCUGCUGCUGGGUGGCGGGUGUGGGUGCAGACUCCCCACUGGCUAACACAGCUGGCUGUGGGGCAGGAAGAGUCCCCUGCAUCAUCUGCUGCUGUUGUGCUGCCACAGGCUGUCUGCUACCAUGUCUAAAGGAGAGGAAAGCCUUCCACCCUGGGCUGCUGUUGCUCGUUCUCCAGUGAUGGCAUGUUGCCAGGGCAGGAAUGUGCUGUCUCUGGGCUGCCCUGGGCUAUCUGCCACCAUCAAGUAGCCAGACUGCCUUCGUCUUUCCAUCUUGAGAGUCCUCCUCUGAUUGUUGCGGUAUCUCCAAGGUUUUAGUUGUGCUUUCUGAAAGAAACAGUGAGAAAUCAUAUCUGUGUCAGCUUGUCUGGAACCCUGCUGCUACUCUCAUCAAAGAGUGAAGGAUUUUUAUUUUGGUAAACUCCGAUUUAGAGAUUUUUUCUUUUAUAGUUCAUGCUUUUUGUGUAAUAUAUAAGGCUUUUCCCCAAACCCAGGCUCACUGGUGUAGUUCUCUAAUGCUGUGUGAUAAAUCACCCCCAAAAUCAG
Molecule: long non-coding RNA, 1231 nt
Filed under: Callithrix jacchus (white-tufted-ear marmoset)
Lineage: Eukaryota; Metazoa; Chordata; Mammalia; Primates; Cebidae
Description: lncRNA (ENSCJAG00000087272.1)
Rfam family: Metazoan signal recognition particle RNA (bases 407-522)
Source: RNAcentral